AGGGUUGUCGAUCUGGCCCCUACUUAAGUCCAGAUCUAAUGCUAAAAAGGUAAUUUAAAAUG
Molecule: small RNA, 62 nt
Filed under: unclassified sequences
Description: DUF2815 RNA
Rfam family: DUF2815 RNA
Source: Rfam by way of RNAcentral